UGGGGAAUCUUGGACAAUGGGGGCAACCCUGAUCCAGCCAUGCCGCGUGAGUGAUGAAGGCCUUAGGGUCGUAAAGCUCUUUCGCCUGUGAAGAUAAUGACGGUAGCAGGUAAAGAAACCCCGGCUAACUCCGUGCCAGCAGCCGCGGUAAUACGGAGGGGGUUAGCGUUGUUCGGAAUUACUGGGCGUAAAGCGCACGUAGGCGGACCAGAAAGUUGGGGGUGAAAUCCCGGGGGCUCAACCCCGGAACUGCCUCCAAAACUAUUGGUCUAGAGUUCGAGAGAGGUGAGUGGAAUUCCAAGUGUAGAGGUGAAAUUCGUAGAUAUUUGGAGGAACACCAGUGGCGAAGGCGGCUCACUGGCUCGAUACUGACGCUGAGGUGCGAAAGUGUGGGGAGCAAACAGGAUUAGAUACCCUGGUAGUCCACACCGUAAAACGAUGAAUGCCAGUCGUCGGGUAGCAUGCUAUUCGGUGACACACCUAACGGAUUAAGCAUUCCGCCUGGGGAGUACGGCC
This 516-nucleotide ribosomal RNA is filed under the name uncultured bacterium. Its description in RNAcentral is "bacterial SSU rRNA". It matches the Rfam family "Bacterial small subunit ribosomal RNA", at positions 355 to 887 of the family's 1533-position model. The record is from RNAcentral.